GGCAAGGAUUCUUUCACAGCUAUAGUCUGAGUAGGUUUAACAGAAUUGGGUUUGUUCUCUUGAGGCAGGCUUUCAGAAUUUCGUGUUGCAAGAGGCUUGGCUAUAGGAGCUGUAGACUUAUCAUUUGUGUCUCCUGUCCAACGAAGAGUAAACUGAAGUGUAGGUCCCUGAGAAAAUGUUUCAAAUGGAGGCAACCUCUUCCCAUCAAGUAUUGUUUCCCAUGUUGCUCUUUUCUUACUGAUGGGACACUCUUCCAUUUCCUGCAUGGCCACUUCAUAUUCUCCAUCCAGAAGCUGCAAUCGUCUGUUUUUAUCAAAUACAGUCAUUUGUGCUACAAAUGUCUUUUCUCCAUCUUCACGAUUUGAAGAAUUUCUUUUUCUUCUAGCUGGAAGCUCCUCAUUGACAUCAAUGUUUUCAUUAGUUUCGCCAUUAAUCAGUCCAUUAAAAUCUCUUCUUCCUGGGCGAGUUACUCUGAAUAACAAUGAGUAAGACUUCACCAUAUGGCUGUUGCUUGGUUCAAACUCAUUGCUGGAAACUGCAAGUGAUGGGAAGUUGCCUGGUUUGAUUUGACUGAGGUCUGGGUUUAAAGGCACCUGCUUUUUACCUGUAGGAACCUGUCUUAUUGGACAACUGACAUCCUUUCGUUUCUUGUGGCAAACUUUCACAAGCAGUACUUCCAGGGUUACAGAAUUUUGUUCAUUCUCUGAGUUUUGUGAUGGCUUAUCAUUUUUAUGGAAGAAACCAGUAAACGUAAGUUGCAGAUGAGCAGACAGGCUGUGAGAUUCUUGUUCUCCC
This 795-nucleotide long non-coding RNA is filed under the name Gallus gallus (chicken). The record is from RNAcentral. Lineage: Eukaryota; Metazoa; Chordata; Aves; Galliformes; Phasianidae.